CUUACCAACCCGAUGCAAACUACGAAUACCGAAGAAUGUUAUCACGGGAGACACACGGCGGGUGCUAACGUCCGUCGUGAAGAGGGAAACAACCCAGACCGCCAGCUAAGGUCCCAAAGUCAUGGUUAAGUGGGAAACGAUGUGGGAAGGCACAGACAGCCAGGAUGUUGGCUUAGAAGCAGCCAUCAUUUAAAGAAAGCGUAAUAGCUCACUGGUCGAGUCGGCCUGCGCGGAAGAUGUAACGGGGCUAAACCAUGCACCGAAGCUGCGGCAGCGACACUAUGUGUUGUUGGGUAGGGGAGCGUUCUGUAAGCCUGCGAAGGUGGCCUGUGAGGGUUGCUGGAGGUAUCAGAAGUGCGAAUGCUGACAUAAGUAACGAUAA
Molecule: ribosomal RNA, 382 nt
Filed under: Mesorhizobium sp.
Lineage: Bacteria; Pseudomonadati; Pseudomonadota; Alphaproteobacteria; Hyphomicrobiales; Phyllobacteriaceae
Description: partial 23S ribosomal RNA
Rfam family: Bacterial large subunit ribosomal RNA
Source: RNAcentral